Molecule: ribosomal RNA, 250 nt
Filed under: uncultured prokaryote
Description: partial 16S ribosomal RNA
Rfam family: Bacterial small subunit ribosomal RNA
Source: RNAcentral
CACGUAAGUUGCGAGCGUUGUUCGGAAUUAUUGGGCGUAAAGGGCAUGUAGGCGGUAAUGCAAGUCUGGUGUGAAAUGCCGGGGCUCAACCCCGGAACAGCGUUGGAAACUGCAUUGCUUGAGUCACUGAGGGGCAGGCAGAAUUCCUGGUGUAGGGGUGAAAUCUGUAGAUAUCAGGAAGAAUACCGAUGGCGAAGGCAGCCUGCCAGCGGAUGACUGACGCUGAGGUGCGAAGGUGCGGGGAGCGAAC